AUUUGUGAACCACUGAGUCACGACGGGAACUCCUCUUCUCUGUUCUUUCAACACACCAAAUUCAUUGCUGCCCCAGGGCCUUUGCAUCUGCUUUCCCCUCAGCCCAGAAUGCUUUGCUCCAGAUAGUCAUGUGGUUUCUCACCCCUCAGUUCUCAUCCCAGAUGCCACUGCCUCCUAAAAACCUUUUCGGACCUCCCUGUGGAACGCAGCCCUUCUCCCUCCUGGCCUUGACCGCACUCCCGGGUUGCCUUCCUCACCUACACGCACGUCCGUGUGCCUGUGUUUACUAUUUCAGAGCUUCCCCUCUGGAAGGCGAGCUUCUGUCUUUUCUACUAUGAAAUCCCCAGUGCCGAGACAUCAUGGACACUCCGUGGAUGUCUGCUGAAUGACGGAGGGAACCAGCCUCAGUUUCCCCUCUGUUAAAAGGGGAAUGAAGUCACAGCCUAGCCCCAGGCAAGUCCUGGCAGGGUCCUGGGCAGCUAUCUGGGCCACCUCCAUUGCAGAGCUGACAGCAGGCUCCUCCUGGGUGCCCGGGAGCCCAGCCCGGCCUGGAGCAGCCUCUGUUUCCUCUGGAGUAUUUUCCACUUCCUCUCCAUGGGGGGUUGACUCCCGGAAAGCCUCGGGAGGCAGAGCCACUGUUACCAUGCUCACGGGUCUGGGGACCCAGCCCUAGGUCGGGAGCUUGAGAGCCACGGCAGAGCAAGCAGGGCUGAGCAGGGCUUCAAAACCAUGCUCAAUAGUGCCCAGCUUGUAAGUGGCAGAGCUGAGCUACAAACCCAGGUCUGAUGCCAGAGCCCGAGCCCUCAGCCCCUCUGCCACAUUCCCACUGGCCUUGGCUUCACCAGGGGUCAAGCUGGAGGGAAGCUGGGCACUGCCCAACUGCCAGCAGGCCUGGGCACUAGAAUGAGCGAGGCCAGGGGCACAGGAGCCUGGAAGCCUCUUCCAGGAUGCUGGACUUGGGGCUGGACAGAUGUUGUGGGGAGGGGGCUCGCGGCGGGGGGCAGACAAAGGGAAGCUUGGGGCCCUGGCAAAAUGCUCACAUUUUAUCUGCACUCCAGCCCUGGCCUCCUUGCUGGCUUUCACGAGUAUCAAGCCAUACCUCCCCAUUCACUCCUUAGCCCCAGGCCCAGCCUCCUGCUCUGCCAGGGGCCUGCCUCAUCUGGUGACCCUGUGCACCCACCAUCAACGGGUACUGGGUGGCAGAGGGUGGAAAGAGGGCCCCGGCCUCCCCAGCAGAGUCCACAUCUUUUCCACCAGCUGACAAGCGAACAGUUGCAGACGGUGGCCGGGCCUGUCUCCCCACUGGCACCUCUCUGCUGGACAGUGCGCUCCAAGAGGCCACCGUCCAGGUGUGUCCCCAAACCUAUCCACAGCUCCCUCCCACAUGUUUACAAAAGAGGGCUUUGCCACCCUUGAGCUCCCUGGAGCCCCACAGCCAAGAUCAGGAAGGCAGGGCGGCAGCUGUCAGUGUGUCCAUUCCCCAGAUGCGGAAAAUGGGGCCCCCACACCUGCACGUCCCCGAGCUCAGUGCAAAGCUUGGUGCUCAGACUGGGUGGGCUGGACAUGGGAGUCUAAUAGAUGCUGUCCUUCCUGGCUGUGUGACCUUGGGCAAGGCCUCCAACCUCAGGGUCUGUUUCCUCACCUGCGGGAGGACCACCAGGGCACCUGCCUCAUGAGGCUGUGUGACCCAGCCUAUAGAGCAUGGUGUGGGGCCUGUGGGAAGGGCUCAGCAGACGGCUGCUGGGGUCACCUUCCCCUCUGCAGCCCCUGCGCAGAGCACGCAGCAGGCACAGAGCAGGGGUUCAGCAGCCGUCCAGCGGAUGGAAGGAAGGACUGUGGUUUGCACACUGUAAAGUGCUGGGUGUCCGUGUCAUUUACAGCACCAAGGCCUCAGGGCUUUAUUGUCUCCAGGGUUCACCCCCCCUCCCUGGACUCUGACUGCCGGCCCUUAGGAAAGGGGCCCAUCUGUGUGUCUCAUGCUGGUGUCUCUGCAGCUCUGGGGAGGGGGGGUGUCACAUGAGCAGGAGGGGGGGGUUCUGUGGGAGUCCGUCCCCUGGAAACAGACGGCACCCCUCUCUGCUGACCAGAUGGGUCUGGCCACCCCCACAGUGGCUUUCCAACAGCUCACAGAUACAUGGCUCCAGGCAGGACCCUCUCCUCUCGCCCCUGGGGUUGGUGCUGGGCUUCCCAGGUCAUUUAAGAGGCAGGACCUCUCCAGCCUGGCUGUCCGCACUGGAGAUGGUGAAACAGAGGCUCAGAGAGGGUAGUGACUCGCCUGAGGUUUCACAGCAGAGCCUGGCUUGGACCCAGGAUGUUUUGCCCCAGAACUGCGUCCCUCUGAGGGGGAAGUUCUGCCUGCCUCCCUCUCCCAUGUGCCAUUGGCUUCUUUAGCCAUGAAGGUCAUUGGAAGAAAGCUAGGGUUUCUGAUGAAGGUGAGAGAGGGAGAUGACAGAGGGGGGAGGUCAGUGUCAAUUCUCCUGCCUCCUCCCUCAGUCUGCCCAGCACCCCCCACCUCCAGCACCAGGAGAGCGCCCCCUCUCUCCUUCUCAGCACCCGAAAAGCCAUCUCCACCUCCCCUUUCUUGGGGAACCCUGGGGGGGUCACGACCCUGCCUGCCUCCCUAAACCCGGGGUCCUUUGUCUUUGUGGUUGCCCCCCACUCCCUGCCACCUGGCCCUCCCAGCGCCUUGUGGGAUCAGAGGCAGGAGGGGGAUUAGGUUGUGCAAAUGGCUCCCCCCCCCUCCUCCCCGCCAUCCUGCCUCCCUGUCUUAGUCAUCUCUGCCCUCCGCCGCCUUCUCCCUCCAUUACAAUUCCUCUGCCAGGCCAAGGGGAGAACAACACUGACAGGCGCCCCCCACCCCACCCAGGGGCGGCGGCGGGGCAAGGGGCCGGCUGCUCAGUAAAGGAUCCCCCCCAACCCAUCCUGCAGCCCGCGCCUCCCCCUUCUUCCGCGCUGCGCACGGAUGGCGGCUGGGGCCGCAGAGAAAUGGGCUCAUAUUAUAAAUGCAGCAUCCCCGCCUUCACUCAUGACCUGCUGGAUGACAACCUACCUUGAACGAGAACCAAGAGCCCAGGAGAUGAGGUGUAAGAACAGAUUGGCCACAUUCCUUGAUCACGGCUGCAUAGUUUAGUUUCCCACUGUUUGGCAGGGCUCUGGUUUUGUCUCCUGGUCCACUAAAAAUGACUGUGCUGACUUGAAGAGUGGAAGGAUAAAAUGCCACUGCAGGGGUGCAGGCGUAUGUGGCUGAGGGUUGAUGUUCUGGGCAGAGGAAUUGGCACAAGCAAAGAUAUCAGAGGCGUUCCUGUCGUGGCGCAGCGGAAAUGAAUCCAACUAGGAACCAUGGGGUUGUGAGCUCCAUUCCUGGCCUCACUCAGUGGGUUAAGGAGCCGGCGAUGCUGUGAG
Molecule: long non-coding RNA, 3402 nt
Organism: Sus scrofa (pig)
Lineage: Eukaryota; Metazoa; Chordata; Mammalia; Artiodactyla; Suidae
Source: RefSeq, a predicted model, not a curated record